Molecule: transfer RNA, 76 nt
Filed under: Sediminibacterium sp.
Lineage: Bacteria; Pseudomonadati; Bacteroidota; Chitinophagia; Chitinophagales; Chitinophagaceae
Description: tRNA-Asn
Rfam family: tRNA
About the family: Transfer RNA (tRNA) molecules are approximately 80 nucleotides in length. Their secondary structure includes four short double-helical elements and three loops (D, anti-codon, and T loops).
Source: RNAcentral
GCUUCCUUAGCUCAGUUGGUUAGAGCAUCUGACUGUUAAUCAGAGGGUCUCAGGUUCAAGUCCUGAAGGGGGAGCA